UUCCAUGCCAAUGGUACCGACGUGUGUCU
RNAcentral lists this non-coding RNA (29 nucleotides) under Mus musculus (house mouse). Lineage: Eukaryota; Metazoa; Chordata; Mammalia; Rodentia; Muridae. The record is from RNAcentral.